UACGGGGGGGGUAAGCGUUGUUCGGAAUUACUGGGCGUAAAGGGCCAGUAGGCGGCCAACUAAGUCCGACGUGAAAUCCCCAAGCUUAACUUGGGAACUGCGUCGGAUACUGGAUGGCUUGAAUUCGGGAGAGGGAUGCAGAAUUCCAGGUGUAGCGGUGAAAUGCGUAGAUAUCUGGAGGAAUACCGGUGGCGAAGGCGGCAUCCUGGACCGACAUUGACGCUGAACGGCGAAAGCUAGGGGAGCAAACGGG
Molecule: ribosomal RNA, 253 nt
Filed under: uncultured bacterium
Lineage: Bacteria
Description: partial 16S ribosomal RNA
Rfam family: Bacterial small subunit ribosomal RNA
Source: RNAcentral